CAGUAGCCGCGGUAAUACGUAGGUGGCAAGCGUUGUCCGGAAUUAUUGGGCGUAAAGCGCGCGCAGGCGGAUCAGUUAGUCUGUCUUAAAAGUUCGGGGCUUAACCCCGUGAUGGGAUGGAAACUGCUGAUCUAGAGUAUCGGAGAGGAAGGUGGAAUUCCUAGUGUAGCGGUGAAAUGCGUAGAUAUCAGGAAGAACACCAGUGGCGAAGGCGACUCUCUGGACGUAAACUGACGCUGAGGCGCGAAAGCCAGGGGAGCGAACGGGAUUAGAUACCCGUGUAGUCCCUGUCUCUUAUACA
Molecule: ribosomal RNA, 301 nt
Filed under: uncultured bacterium
Lineage: Bacteria
Description: partial 16S ribosomal RNA
Rfam family: Bacterial small subunit ribosomal RNA
Source: RNAcentral